Molecule: ribosomal RNA, 620 nt
Filed under: Bacillus pumilus
Lineage: Bacteria; Bacillati; Bacillota; Bacilli; Caryophanales; Bacillaceae
Description: bacterial SSU rRNA
Rfam family: Bacterial small subunit ribosomal RNA
Source: RNAcentral
CUCCCGGAUGUUAGCGGCGGACGGGUGAGUAACACGUGGGUAACCUGCCUGUAAGACUGGGAUAACUCCGGGAAACCGGAGCUAAUACCGGAUAGUUCCUUGAACCGCAUGGUUCAAGGAUGAAAGACGGUUUCGGCUGUCACUUACAGAUGGACCCGCGGCGCAUUAGCUAGUUGGUGGGGUAAUGGCUCACCAAGGCGACGAUGCGUAGCCGACCUGAGAGGGUGAUCGGCCACACUGGGACUGAGACACGGCCCAGACUCCUACGGGAGGCAGCAGUAGGGAAUCUUCCGCAAUGGACGAAAGUCUGACGGAGCAACGCCGCGUGAGUGAUGAAGGUUUUCGGAUCGUAAAGCUCUGUUGUUAGGGAAGAACAAGUGCGAGAGUAACUGCUCGCACCUUGACGGUACCUAACCAGAAAGCCACGGCUAACUACGUGCCAGCAGCCGCGGUAAUACGUAGGUGGCAAGCGUUGUCCGGAAUUAUUGGGCGUAAAGGGCUCGCAGGCGGUUUCUUAAGUCUGAUGUGAAAGCCCCCGGCUCAACCGGGGAGGGUCAUUGGAAACUGGGAAACUUGAGUGCAGAAGAGGAGAGUGGAAUUCCACGUGUAGCGGUGAAAUG